This 443-nucleotide ribosomal RNA is filed under the name uncultured bacterium. Its description in RNAcentral is "partial 16S ribosomal RNA". It matches the Rfam family "Bacterial small subunit ribosomal RNA", at positions 338 to 795 of the family's 1533-position model. The record is from RNAcentral.
CCUACGGGAGGUAGCAGUGGGGAAUAUUGGGCAAUGGGCGCAAGCCUGACCCAGCAACGCCGCGUGAAGGAAGAAGGCCCUCGGGUUGUAAACUUCUUUUAACAGGGACGAAGAAAGUGACGGUCCCUGUUGAAUAAGCCACGGCUAACUACGUGCCAGCAGCCGCGGUAAUACGUAGGUGGCAAGCGUUCUCCGGAUUUACUGGGCGUAAAGGGCGUGUAGGCGGGAGAGCAAGUCAGACGUUAAAUUCCCGGGCUCAACUGUGGAACUGCGUUUGAAACUGUUCUUCUUGAGUGAUGGAGAGGUAGGGGGAAUUCCGGGUGUAGCGGUGAAAUGCGUAGAUAUAAGGAGGAACACCGGUGGCGAAGGCGGCCUGCUGGACAUUAACUGACGCUGAGGCGCGAAAGCGUGGGGAGCAAAUAGGAUUAGAUACCCCAGUAGUC